AUUGAACGCUGGCGGCAUGCCUUACACAUGCAAGUCGAACGGUAACAGGUCUUCGGAUGCUGACGAGUGGCGAACGGGUGAGUAAUGCAUCGGAACGUGCCCAGUAGUGGGGGAUAGCCCGGCGAAAGCCGGAUUAAUACCGCAUACGACCUGAGGGUGGAAGGGGGGGAUCGCAAGACCUCUCGCUAUUGGAGCGGCCGAUGUCAGAGUAGCUAGUUGGUGGGGUAAAGGCCUAACAAGGCAACGAUCUGUAGUUGGUCUGAGAGGACGACCAGCCACACUGGGACUGAGACACGGCCCAGACUCCUACGGGAGGCAGCAGUGGGGAAUUUUGGACAAUGGGCGCAAGCCUGAUCCAGCAAUGCCGCGUGCAGGAAGAAGGCCUUCGGGUUGUAAACUGCUUUUGUCAGGGAAGAAAUCGUCUGGGUUAAUACCUCGGGAGGAUGACGGUACCUGAAGAAUAAGCACCGGCUAACUACGUGCCAGCAGCCGCCGUAA
RNAcentral lists this ribosomal RNA (498 nucleotides) under uncultured bacterium. Its description in RNAcentral is "partial 16S ribosomal RNA". It matches the Rfam family "Bacterial small subunit ribosomal RNA", at positions 30 to 523 of the family's 1533-position model. The record is from RNAcentral.